RNAcentral lists this non-coding RNA (29 nucleotides) under Rattus norvegicus (Norway rat). Lineage: Eukaryota; Metazoa; Chordata; Mammalia; Rodentia; Muridae. The record is from RNAcentral.
UGCUUUGUCUAGGUCGUAGUCUCUGGUCU